CACGUAGGGGGCGAGCGUUGUCCGGAUUUAUUGGGCGUAAAGAGCUCGUAGGCGGCUCCGUAAGUGAGGUGUGAAAACUCCAGGCUCAACCUGGAGACGCCACCUCAUACUGCGGUGGCUAGAGUCCGGUAGGGGAGCAUGGAAUUCCUGGUGCAGCGGUGAAAUGCGCAGAUAUCAGGAGGAACACCAGUGGCGAAGGCGGCUUCCUGGCCUGUUCUUGACGCUGAGGCGCGAAAGCUAGGGGAGCAAACGGG
Molecule: ribosomal RNA, 254 nt
Filed under: uncultured bacterium
Lineage: Bacteria
Description: partial 16S ribosomal RNA
Rfam family: Bacterial small subunit ribosomal RNA
Source: RNAcentral